CCUACGGCCUGCAUACAGGCGACCGCCCAAUCCAUCUCUCAGAGCUGCAGAGAGUGGACGUGGGCAAGCAUUUCUCCCAGGCCGGCUGUGCAUGCGGCCAGGCCUGCGGGAGAAACUUGGCUGCUCCGGGGGGCUGUAAGAGGGGGCUUCGGGCUUUUAAGCCCACCGCAACCCAUUCAAUGUUGGGUGGCCGGGCUGCAGCAGAUCCCAGCUGCAGGCAAUUUUCGGCCGGCACCCCCCCCCCCUUUUCAGCGCUGGGCUGCCGGGCCGCGGUGGAGGCUUUGGGCUUUUAAGACCACCCCUCCACAUUCAAUGUCGUGUGGCCAGGCCACGUUGGAUCCUGGUUGCAGGCAAUUUUCAGCCUGCAUUUUGGGCCUAGCUCAGCCUCAGCAAUCAUGUGGUAGCGGCAUUGGCGGGGGGCGGGCUUUUAAGCCCGCCGCCCGUAGCCAUGUUCCCGGGCUUGGCAGGCAUGCAGCCAGGCCGGCUUGCCACCGGGCCGGGCGCGGUCCGUGGAUCUGCGGAGGCGAGCGCGGGCUUUUAAGCCUGCUUGCUAGUAACAGUGAGCGGCCGGAGCUGCUGGCCGGGUUCCAUCCCAGCCGAAGGUAUAUAUCUCUGUCACCAUGGUGGUGUUGUAUGUAUGAAAUAGCUGUUGCAGAUCGCAUGUCACAGGAUACCAGCAUUGUGGAGAAUAAAUAAAGGCUAUACAUACCCAGCUCUCAGAGGUGCAGACCCAGGGAAGGUUUGAAGAGCAUCUUCUCACUUUCAGUCUUGCAGGUAGAGGAAGAAUACUUCUGUGGGAGAGAAAAAUGUUUUGGAGACUGAAGACAUGAAAAAUACAAUAAAAUAAGAAUGGGGAAGAGUUCAAUAAAUUGAGGGAGGUCUCCUCAAAUGCCUAGCAGAGGGAUCUGGAGCCCUACGUUUGACUGACUGGAAACCAAGUCCUAUGAAGAACAGUUGAAAGAUCUGAGCAUGCUUAGCCUGGAGGGGAAAAGAGACUAAAGAGAGAUAUGAUAGUCAUUUUCAUUUGUUUAUUUAUUAAACUGCCUUUCUCCAAAUGACUGCGAGGCAAUGUACAAUAUAAAAACACAAUAAAAAUACAAUACAACACAUCAUUAAAAACAAUGAAAGGUCCAACAGUAAAAUGUGACAAAAUAGCACAGCAGAGCAUAAUUAUGAAUCCUCAAAUAUCUGAAGGGCUGUCACACAGAAAAAGGAGCAGAUUUGUUCUCUGUUAUUCUGGAGGGCAGGGCUAGAACCAAUGGACUGAAAUUACAAGGAAGCAGCUUGAAGUAAACAUAAGGGAAUUUCCUAAUUGAAAGGGUUGUUCUACAGUAGAACAAUCUGCUUCGCAUGGUGGUGACGCUCCCCUUCACUUGAGGUUUUCAAACAGAGGCUGGACGCCAUCUGUCAGAGAUGCCAUAGCAGAUUCCUACACUGCG
This is a long non-coding RNA of Hemicordylus capensis (graceful crag lizard), 1439 nucleotides long. RefSeq lists it as uncharacterized. The transcript has 3 exons. Lineage: Eukaryota; Metazoa; Chordata; Lepidosauria; Squamata; Cordylidae. The record is from RefSeq and is a predicted model, not a curated record.